GCUCACCGGCGUCGUGGCUGAGGACAGCUCCCAGCCAGGGUGGCCUCGCAGCACUUCUCUUUGUCCGCUGGCUGCGUCCAGAACCGGCCCAGGUGGGAAAGUGGAUCCUGGAUAAAAGUCCUGCCCAAGACAAGACUCCAGGCUGAAGACUCCAAUUAUCUAUAAAUCACUUGUGUUUCCUGCAGAGAAAGAGAAAAAGGAGGGAAGAGCGAGACAGAAAAACAGAGACAGAGGAUAUGCCAAGUGAAAUAUUCGAUACCUGUCCUAAACCAAAUUUCUCUCAAAAGCAACCAGGAGUUACCUGAUACCUCAAAACCAAGCUUAGAAGAAAUAUGUUGCCGUUGUUUUUGGCUUAAUAUUGAAAUAAAAUAACUUUCUUUUACUUGU
This is a long non-coding RNA of Gymnogyps californianus (California condor), 387 nucleotides long. RefSeq lists it as uncharacterized. Lineage: Eukaryota; Metazoa; Chordata; Aves; Accipitriformes; Cathartidae. The transcript has 2 exons. The record is from RefSeq and is a predicted model, not a curated record.